UACGAAGGGGGCUAGCGUUGCUCGGAAUCACUGGGCGUAAAGGGUGCGUAGGCGGGUCUUUAAGUCAGGGGUGAAAUCCUGGAGCUCAACUCCAGAACUGCCUUUGAUACUGAGGAUCUUGAGUUCGGGAGAGGUGAGUGGAACUGCGAGUGUAGAGGUGAAAUUCGUAGAUAUUCGCAAGAACACCAGUGGCGAAGGCGGCUCACUGGCCCGAUACUGACGCUGAGGCACGAAAGCGUGGGGAGCAAAACGG
This 253-nucleotide ribosomal RNA is filed under the name uncultured bacterium. Its description in RNAcentral is "partial 16S ribosomal RNA". It matches the Rfam family "Bacterial small subunit ribosomal RNA", at positions 524 to 776 of the family's 1533-position model. The record is from RNAcentral.